Molecule: non-coding RNA, 82 nt
Organism: Rhodocollybia butyracea
Lineage: Eukaryota; Fungi; Basidiomycota; Agaricomycetes; Agaricales; Omphalotaceae
Source: the annotation of a GenBank genome assembly
GAAAGGCUCAAUGGUAGCGCGUUUGGCUUCGAGUGCUGGAUGAUUUACCAAAAGGUUGCAGGUUCGAGUCCUGCGGUGGUCA